Molecule: ribosomal RNA, 119 nt
Filed under: Pteropus alecto (black flying fox)
Lineage: Eukaryota; Metazoa; Chordata; Mammalia; Chiroptera; Pteropodidae
Source: RNAcentral
GUCUACGGCCAUGACACCCUGAAUGUAUUCAAUCUCAUCUGAUCUUGGAAGCUAAGUAGGGUCAGGCCUGGUUAGUAUUUGGAUGGGAGACUACCUAGGAACACCAGGUACUACAGGCA